UAGUUAUCAAGUAACCAAAAG
RNAcentral lists this non-coding RNA (21 nucleotides) under Caenorhabditis elegans. The record is from RNAcentral. Lineage: Eukaryota; Metazoa; Nematoda; Chromadorea; Rhabditida; Rhabditidae.